RNAcentral lists this ribosomal RNA (441 nucleotides) under uncultured bacterium. RNAcentral's name for it is "partial 16S ribosomal RNA". It matches the Rfam family "Bacterial small subunit ribosomal RNA", at positions 338 to 795 of the family's 1533-position model. The record is from RNAcentral.
CCUACGGUGUGCUGCAGUGGGGGAUAUUGCACAAUGGGGGGAACCCUGAUGCAGCGACGCCGCGUGGGUGAAGGAGUGCUUCGGCAUGUAAAGCCCUAUCGGCAGGGAAGAAGCAAGACGGUACCUGACUAAGACGCCCCGGCUAACUACGUGCCAGCAGCGGCGGUAAUACGUAGGGUGCGAGCGUUAUCCGGAUUCACUGGUGGUAAAGUGAGCGUAGACGGGCAAGCAAGCCAGGGGUGAAAGCCCGGGGCCCAACCCCGGGAGGGCCCGGGGUACUGCAUGGCUGGAGUGCGGGUGGGGCAGGCGGAAUUCCUGGUGUAGCGGUGACAUGCGUAGAUAGCAGGAGGAACACCGGCGGCGAAGGCGGCCUGCUGGACCGCGACUGACGUUGAGGCUCGAAAGCGUGGGGAGCGAACAGGAUUAGAUACCCUUGUAGUC